UGAAUAAGUCCCAAUGGUGUCCAAUAUUUUUGGUAAGUUUUGGAUUGUUUUUAUAUUUAUGAAUUAGGCCAUUUAUUAUGUUUUUAUAUUCAAUAUUAUCCAAAAUGCUGUUAUUAAUUUUAAAAUAUCCUUUCCCUUUUGAUUGUGAUCUCCCUUUCAACUUUAAUGAUAUAGCUCGGUGGUCUGUGUGAGAUAUAAGUGCAGGUCUUAUAUCUGCUGAGUAUAUAUGUGAUCUUAUUUCUUGGCAUAUAAGAAAGAAAUCUAUGCGAGAGGCUUCAUUCAUAUUGUUUUGCGCCUCCAUGUAAAUUGUGUAUUGUUACUAUGUGUCUCUCUCCAAAUGUCUAUCAACUUUAGUGUUUCAAUUAGAUUUUUUAAACUGUUAACUGGUUUUUGUGUUUUUUUAUUUGUGCUGUAUUUUUUUCUGUCAAUAUUUGAUAGAGUAUCAUUCAUAUCUCCACCAACAAUUACCAUCCCUAAGCUAUUCUCUGAUAUCAUUUCCUUUACUUUUUUGAAAAAAACGUUUCUGUUUUUUGUAAAUUUGGAGCAUAAAUAUUCACUAAAGUAUAAAUGCUAUCUUUAAUUUCUAUAUCGAGCAAAAUUAUUUUCCAUUCAUUAUCUAGAAAUUUAUCAAUAGAUUUUUAUUCUAUUUGCUCAUUAAUAUAAAUUGACACCCCUCUUGAUUGUGAAUUACCAUAGCUAUUAUAUAUGUCACCUUUAAAUUCUUCAUUCAAAUCUUUCUCUAAAUCAACAGUGAAAUUGCUUUCUUGUAUAAAUAAAAUAUUACAAUGUUGAUGCUUCAUCCACAUAUGAAGUCUUUGUCUUUUAUCUUUUGAUCCUAGUCCCUGACAAUUCAAUGAACAUAUAUGUAUAGUUUCAUUCAUUAUUUGUCAUAAGUGUCUUAAUGAAAAUACAAUGUUUACCCAAAUCUAAUGUUAACAACAUAAUAAUAAUAAAUGCAGAGUCAAUAUGUAUUUUUUUAAUCUAUAUAUUAUACACCUUCUACAUACACUUGUUAAUUUAAUAAAAAAAAAAUAUACCAUUAUGUAAGCGAUACAUAUACAAACUGUAAAUUAUGCUUUUAAUGUGUUACUCAUAAUAUUGUGACAUUGUACUUAUUGUUGUUUUAUUGUCUAUCUUCAGUCGGUGUUCGACCUGGACUUUAAUAAUAGGUUAACCCAGUUUCACCUGUGAUGAAUUUAAAUGCCACAUGAAGUUAACAAUUGGUUUGAUAGAAAAUUUAUGUGAUAGUGGAUGUUUAAAAUUUCGUAAUCCAUGUGUUUUGGAAACUUGAAACCUGCACGUAUUAUUCAUGGAUUUACCUAGGAAUAUUAGAACUGUAUAUACA
RNAcentral lists this long non-coding RNA (1345 nucleotides) under Mytilus galloprovincialis (Mediterranean mussel). Lineage: Eukaryota; Metazoa; Mollusca; Bivalvia; Mytilida; Mytilidae. The record is from RNAcentral.